AGGAUUUCUACACUGGGAAUCACAGACCUGGCUAAAGACAGAACAAAAGAUUAGAGGAGUAACAUAGUUAUGGGUAACUUGAUUUCACCAAGACACUGACAAAAUCUCUCAGGAUAUUCCUGUAGAUGAAAAAACUGGGGUCCAGAGGCUAAAUAGCCUCAGGUCACAGAAAUAGAAGCAGCAGAGCUAAGAUUCCAAUCUGGGUCCUCUAACGCCAACCCAUCAUCUGUCUGCUAAACAAAAGAACAUUACAGCUUCAUGCCAGGCUAAGAGGGCCUUCAGAGGAAGGGGAGAUCAGUUGGUUUGAAGAGGAGGCUGCUUGGAGGAAGAAGGGAACUAGGACUAAGCCUUGAAUGGAGAAGGAAUGAAAACAUAAACCAGGAAAAGGGCCUCCAGGCAGCAUUGGAAAAACCGUUCUGUUUAGACUGAAGUUUUCCAUGGAGCAUUUGCGGUUCUGAGAAAUGAGCACAUUACGGC
This 477-nucleotide long non-coding RNA is filed under the name Monodelphis domestica (gray short-tailed opossum). RNAcentral describes it as "lncRNA (ENSMODG00000046705.1)". Lineage: Eukaryota; Metazoa; Chordata; Mammalia; Didelphimorphia; Didelphidae. The record is from RNAcentral.